GCUUAACGCGAAGAACCUUACCAGGUCUUGACAUCCCAUUGACCACUAUGGAGACAUAGUUUUCCCUUCGGGGACAACGGUGACAGGUGGUGCAUGGUUGUCGUCAGCUCGUGUCGUGAGAUGUUGGGUUAAGUCCCGCAACGAGCGCAACCCUUGUUCUUAGUUGCCAUCAUUUAGUUGGGCACUCUAAGGAGACUGCCGGUGACAAACCGGAGGAAGGUGGGGAUGACGUCAAAUCAUCAUGCCCCUUAUGACCUGGGCUACACACGUGCUACAAUGGACGGUACAAACGGUUGCCAACCCGCGAGGGGGAGCUAAUCCGAUAAAACCGUUCUCAGUUCGGAUUGUAGGCUGCAACUCGCCUACAUGAAGCCGGAAUCGCUAGUAAUCGCGGAUCAGCAUGCCGCGGUGAAUACGUUCCCGGGUCUUGUACACACCG
Molecule: ribosomal RNA, 439 nt
Filed under: uncultured bacterium
Lineage: Bacteria
Description: bacterial SSU rRNA
Rfam family: Bacterial small subunit ribosomal RNA
Source: RNAcentral